RNAcentral lists this ribosomal RNA (119 nucleotides) under Morganella sp. EGD-HP17. The record is from RNAcentral. Lineage: Bacteria; Pseudomonadati; Pseudomonadota; Gammaproteobacteria; Enterobacterales; Morganellaceae.
UGCCUGGCGGCCGUAGCGCGGUGGUCCCACCUGACCCCAUGCCGAACUCAGAAGUGAAACGCCGUAGCGCCGAUGGUAGUGUGGGGUCUCCCCAUGUGAGAGUAGGGAACCGCCAGGUU